Molecule: long non-coding RNA, 1441 nt
Filed under: Theobroma cacao (cacao)
Lineage: Eukaryota; Viridiplantae; Streptophyta; Magnoliopsida; Malvales; Malvaceae
Description: long non-coding RNA (TCAC_LNC005477)
Source: RNAcentral
CGAUAAAGGCAAGGGAAUUGCAUUCGAGGACCAGUAGUCUUAAUACUUUGAAAAUCCGCACUCUAGACAUUGUGAGUAAACUUACUGUCAUUUUAAUUAUCUAGGGUGGUUUUUAGAUGAUUUCAUGAAUUAUGUGGAAAAAGGGAUUUAAAAAGGUAAAUUUUCAUAUUUUAUGAAUAAAUGUGUUUCAAUGAAAUUAAUUUAUAAAUUGUUUUGAAAAAUAGAGUACACAGAGACUGCUAUUUGUUGCAAUUUGAUUGUUUAAAUUAAUUGGCUUAUGAUAAAUUGGGCAUGAUUGGCUGGUUGGCAAUUGUAUUGAAAUACGGAUUGUUUGUUUGCCUUGAAAGAUUGUGAAUUACAAUAAUUGCCAUAUCCUGUUAUUGAAUUUUAUUGAUUGGUGGGAUAAUUAUUAGUUUACUGCAGUAGGCGGGUUCUGUGGACCAGCCUAGGAGAGGGGCACGGUAACCCCAUUUAUAUGUGCUCACCUCGGGUGUAGAGGUGCGUAGGGUAGCUCCUGGGGUGAUAUUUGAGUUCACUUCACGCCGAACCACCACGUUAUGGUGAACUCAGCCAACGCCAAGGAACAGCUGUGUUUUUCUCAAACUAAAAAAUAUGUUUAUGUAUGUAUAAAAUUUAUUUUCAACAGCCUUGGCGGUCUCGGUAGGAUGCCUCGGCCAAGGUGUCCCCGAGGAUAGAUUUAUGGCAUAAGCCUAGUUUUUAUGAGAUUCAUAAGCCUCGUUACGUAUUUUGAAUGAAAUGUGUUCUAAUGCUGUGACCUAGUUUAUGAUGAUUUACUUUAUCAUCUCCGUGUACUCAACUCUAGAUGUUUAUGAUGAUGUCUAUUUACUCAUUGAGAUUUUAUAAUCUCACCACCCUCAUUUCCACCCAUUUCAGGCUAAGUAUAAGUUGUAGAUAGCUAAUAUCAUAGAAGGCUACAGUUGGCUUUACUUCCUCAAAAACUAUAGGUUUGCAGCCUUCGUUCAUUUUUGUCAUUUGGGGGUCCAUAUGUCACUGUAAAUUAAAUAUCAUACUCUAGUUAUCUGUACUACUGUAUGUAGAAAUUUAUUUUGCUUUUACACUGUAAAAAUUAUUUACGCAGUAUUCUAAAUAUAUUAUUUUAUAAGAAAGUAGAAUAUUUUGUUUAAUAUUUUUAUUUUAUUCUAACAGUCAUGAUUUCACUUUAAACAAAUGUUUUAAACAUCUAAAUUUAUUUUUGAUUUUGAAAUAUGUGUUUUGCACUUAUAUACUACAUUAUUAGUUGGUAUUGAAUUUUUUUUUUUAAAAUGACCGAAAUACCCCUGUGAGACGAAAAUUAUUAUUUUAUUUGUUUUGAGUUGGAAACAGUUUAAAAUAUUUUAGAACAUGAUUUUCAGCAAUGGUUACUCACGGGGGAAAUGAGAUACUGAUAUUAAGCCUUGUGGGGUCCUGGUCGACAUUCCGG